UUAGAAUCAGUAGGGGUGUGAGGGAAUGUGAUCGAAGUCUGCAGCAUUUCCUGUGCAUUUGGCUUUUUCUGUUGGUAGAGUUUGGUCUGAAUGGCUUAAAUGUUAGGGGGGUGUUUGAUACUCAUGGCAGCCCCAGAAUAUUUACUUCAUGCAGUUAUUGAUGCAAUGCCAUCCUGUCCUGUCUCCUGUCUCUGUAUUAAUGCUGACUACUAUGUUUAAUUUAUGGGGUCUGGAGUUUUGUGCUUGUGGGAGUCGAGGAACUGUGUCAUGCCCAUUCGACAUGCAUUUUGAAUUGAUUGUUCACUGGAAGAGGGGAGUCAAACUUGGGUUUACUCCCAGGCUUUGUCCCAUGCCUUUUAGUACAAGGGAUAUGAUGACAGGUGGGAGGUGGGGAUUUCAACAGCUCAUGUGACUGUGUUGUUAGCUAAGAACAUGAUUAGUAUUAGUGGAUAAGCUAGUGAACCAUGAAUUGAAGUAUUAGAUAGAGGAAGAGAGAAGGAAUGUGCAUACCUGGAUUGUUACAGUUGAUCUUUUGUAUGGCAUUGCAUCAGCUAACAAGCAUAUCAGAUACUGGCUUUGCUAAUUUCUUGACUCCACAGUCUCUCUAUUCUCAUCAAGGAAAAGCUGACUUC
Molecule: long non-coding RNA, 632 nt
Filed under: Musa acuminata (dwarf banana)
Lineage: Eukaryota; Viridiplantae; Streptophyta; Magnoliopsida; Zingiberales; Musaceae
Description: long non-coding RNA (MACU_LNC000384)
Source: RNAcentral